UUGCGGUUAAAAAGCUCGUAGUUGGAUCUCGGCAAGUAGAGGGCGGUAUGCUUCGUAGCAUUACUGCCCUAUUACUCGUAGUUUUGCCAGAGGUUCCUGGGUGCUCUUAAUCGAGUGUCUAGGGAUGCUGGCAGGUUUACUUUGAAAAAAUUAGAGUGCUCAAAGCAGGCUAUUACGCUUGAAUAUUCGUGCAUGGAAUAAUAGAAUAGGAAGUUGUUUCUAUUUUGUUGGUUUUCGGAAAUCGACUUAAUGAUUAAUAGGGACAGUCGGGGGCAUUUGUAUUCAAACGACAGAGGUGAAAUUCUUGGACCGUUUGAAGACAAACUACUGCGAAAGCAUUUGCCAAGAAUGUUUUCAUUAAUCAAGAACGAAAGUUAGAGGUUCGAAGGCGAUUAGAUACCGCCCUAGUUCUAACCAUAAACGAUGCCAGCUAGCGAUCUGAGGACGUUUUUUUUGUAGACUCCUCAGGAAGCUUCCGGGAAACCAAAGCGUGUGGGUUCCGGGGGAAGUAUGGUUGCAAAGCUGAAACUUAAAGGAAUUGACGGA
Molecule: ribosomal RNA, 546 nt
Filed under: uncultured marine eukaryote
Lineage: Eukaryota
Description: SSU rRNA
Rfam family: Eukaryotic small subunit ribosomal RNA
Source: RNAcentral